CCAGACUCCUACGGGAGGCAGCAGUAGGGAAUAUUGCUCAAUGGGGGAAACCCUGACGCAGCGACGCCGCGUGAGCGAUGAAGUAUUUCGGUAUGUAAAGCUCUAUCAGCAGGGAAGAAGAUGACGGUACCUGACUAAGAAGCCCCGGCUAACUACGUGCCAGCAGCCGCGGUAAUACGUAGGGGGCAAGCGUUAUCCGGAUUUACUGGGUGUAAAGGGGGCGCAGACGGCGAUGCAAGCCAGGAGUGAAAGCCCGGGGCCCAACCCCGGGACUGCUCUUGGAACUGCGUGGCUGGAGUGCAGGAGGGGCAGGCGGAAUUCCAGGUGUAGGAGUGAAAUCCGUAGAUAUCUGGAGGAACAUCAGUGGCGAAGGCGACUAUCUGGCACAUAACUGACGCUGAGGAGCGAAAGCGUGGGUAGCAAACAGGAUUAGAUACCCUUGUA
Molecule: ribosomal RNA, 444 nt
Filed under: uncultured bacterium
Lineage: Bacteria
Description: bacterial SSU rRNA
Rfam family: Bacterial small subunit ribosomal RNA
Source: RNAcentral